RNAcentral lists this ribosomal RNA (252 nucleotides) under uncultured bacterium. RNAcentral describes it as "partial 16S ribosomal RNA". It matches the Rfam family "Bacterial small subunit ribosomal RNA", at positions 524 to 775 of the family's 1533-position model. The record is from RNAcentral.
UACGGAGGGGGCAAGCGUUGUUCGGAAUUACUGGGCGUAAAGGGCGCGUAGGCGGCGCGGGCAGUCAACGGUGAAAGCUCGGAGCUCAACUCCGAGUCGGCCGUCGAUACUCCCGUGCUUGAGCACUGUAGAGGCAGAUGGAAUUCCGGGUGUAGCGGUGGAAUGCGUAGAGAUCCGGAAGAACACCGGUGGCGAAGGCGGUCUGCUGGGCAGUAGCUGACGCUGAUGCGCGACAGCGUGGGGAGCAACAGG